GACAGGUGGUGCAUGGUUGUCGUCAGCUCGUGUCGUGAGAUGUUGGGUUAAGUCCCGCAACGAGCGCAACCCUUAUCCUCAGUAGCCAGCAGUAAGAUGGGCACUCUGGGGAGACUGCCAGGGAUAACCUGGAGGAAGGUGGGGAUGACGUCAAAUCAUCAUGCCCCUUAUGAUUUGGGCUACACACGUGCUACAAUGGCGUAAACAAAGGGAAGCGAAGCCGCGAGGCGGAGCAAAUCCCAAAAAUAACGUCUCAGUUCGGAUUGCAGGCUGCAACUCGCCUGCAUGAAGCUGGAAUCGCUAGUAAUCGCGGAUCAGCAUGCCGCGGUGAAUACGUUCCCGGGUCUUGUACACACCGCCCGUCACACCAUGGGAGUCGAUAACGCCCGAAGUCAGUGACCUAACCGCAAGGAAGGAGCUGCCGAAGGCGGGAUUGAUAACUGGGGUGAAGUCGUAACAAGGUAGCCGUAUCGG
RNAcentral lists this ribosomal RNA (474 nucleotides) under Hungatella effluvii. RNAcentral describes it as "bacterial SSU rRNA". It matches the Rfam family "Bacterial small subunit ribosomal RNA", at positions 1033 to 1508 of the family's 1533-position model. Lineage: Bacteria; Bacillati; Bacillota; Clostridia; Lachnospirales; Lachnospiraceae. The record is from RNAcentral.